CCUACGGGUGGCAGCAGUGAGGAAUAUUGGUCAAUGGCCGGAAGGCUGAACCAGCCAUGCCGCGUGAAGGUCAGUGCCCUAUGGGCGUUAAACUUCUUUUGUGCGGGAGCAAUAAUGGUCACGUGUGGCCAGACGAGAGUACCGUACGAAUAAGCAUCGGCAAACUCCGUGCCAGCAGCCGCGGUAAUACGGGGGAUGCAAGCGUUUUCCGGAUUUAUUGGGUUUAAAGGGUGCGUAGGCUGUGAUGUAGGUCAGCGGGGAAAUGCCCGCGCUUAACGGGGUGAAGUGCCAUUGAUACUGGCUUGCGGGAAUGCGGAUGCGGUGGGAGGAAUGUGUGGUGUAGCGGUGAAAUGCAUAGAUAUCACACAGAACACCGAUUGCGAAGGCAUCUCACGAAUCCGCGAUUGACGCUGAUGCACGAAAGCGUGGGUAUCAAACAGGAUUAGAUACCCUUGUAGUC
This 460-nucleotide ribosomal RNA is filed under the name uncultured bacterium. RNAcentral's name for it is "partial 16S ribosomal RNA". It matches the Rfam family "Bacterial small subunit ribosomal RNA", at positions 338 to 795 of the family's 1533-position model. The record is from RNAcentral.